UACAGAGGUCUCAAGCGUUGUUCGGAUUCAUUGGGCGUAAAGGGCGCGUAGGCGGUGAAGUAAGUCUGGUGUGAAAUCUAGGAGCUUAACUCCUAAACUGCACUGGAUACUGUUUUGCUUGAGGACUGGAGAGGAGAUUGGAAUUCACGGUGUAGCAGUGAAAUGUGUAGAUAUCGUGAGGAAGACCAGUGGCGAAGGCGGAUCUCUGGACAGUUCCUGACGCUGAGGCGCGAAGGCCAGGGGAGCAAAUGGG
This 253-nucleotide ribosomal RNA is filed under the name uncultured bacterium. RNAcentral describes it as "partial 16S ribosomal RNA". It matches the Rfam family "Bacterial small subunit ribosomal RNA", at positions 524 to 776 of the family's 1533-position model. The record is from RNAcentral.